GGAGAGGUGGCAGAGCGGUUGAAUGCACCGGUCUUGAAAACCGGCGACGGUUAAUCCCGUCCGUGGGUUCGAAUCCCACCCUCUCCGCCA
Molecule: transfer RNA, 90 nt
Filed under: Halochromatium salexigens
Lineage: Bacteria; Pseudomonadati; Pseudomonadota; Gammaproteobacteria; Chromatiales; Chromatiaceae
Also listed under: 8 other names
Description: tRNA-Ser
Rfam family: tRNA
About the family: Transfer RNA (tRNA) molecules are approximately 80 nucleotides in length. Their secondary structure includes four short double-helical elements and three loops (D, anti-codon, and T loops).
Source: RNAcentral